CUACGGGGUGCACCAGUAAGGAAUCUUUCGCAAUGGAGGAAACUCUGACGGAGCAAUACCGCGUGACCGAUGAAGGCCGUAAGGUCGUAAAGGUCUUUUCUGAGGGAAUAAUUUUGAAGGUACCUUAGGAAUAAGCACCGGCUAACUCCGUGCCAGCAGCCGCGGUAAUUCGGAGGGUGCAAGCGUUACCCGGAAUCAUUGGGCGUAAAGCGUCCGCAGGCGGUUUGGUAAGCCAAAUAUUAAAUCUUGGGGCCCAACUCCAAGGCUGUAUUUGGAACUGCUGAACUAGAGUCUUUUAGAGGUAUGCGGAAUUCUGUGUGUAGGGGUAAAAUCCGUAGAUACACAGAGGAACACCAAAAGCGAAGGCAGCAUACUGGGAAAGUACUGACGCUCAUGGACGAAAGCGUAGGUAGCGAACGGGAUUAGAUACCCUUGUAGUC
This 440-nucleotide ribosomal RNA is filed under the name uncultured bacterium. RNAcentral's name for it is "partial 16S ribosomal RNA". It matches the Rfam family "Bacterial small subunit ribosomal RNA", at positions 339 to 795 of the family's 1533-position model. The record is from RNAcentral.